UCUUCUGGCACACAGGCAUACAUGCAGAUAGAGUACUCAAAUAUACAAAAAGGGAAAAGAAAUGAAAGGCCUUUGAAAUGUAGACAUGCUUUCAAUUUUAAAGGCUGUUUUCACAUCUCUUAAGAACUAGGGGUUCCAUGAGAACAUAUCCUCACCCUGAGUUCUUACCACCAAUUGAAAACGCUGGCCUGUGCAUAUGAAGAUUGUAUUGCUAGUAAUCAAAUGAUCAUUUGUAGAGUUUAGUAUAAUUAUCAUUUGUUUUCCAGGGAUGAAUUUGGAGUCUGUUUUGUGCUCCUGCCUCAAGAAGAAGGAUUGCCUGGAUUUAGAGGAGUGAAGAGUGCUGGAGAGGGCCCAAAGGUAUUCCCGUUACUUGGUUGACUGAGAUAGUCUCUUCCCUUAAAGGUCUAAUGUGUCAGGUUAUACCUCCUAAGUAAAUACCUCAUUAUUUUCAUGUGGAAUUUUCAACAAUUUUUGUAGUCUAAUGACAGCCUUGUAUUUCUUCACAGGGACAAACAAUCCCUAUGUGAGAUUCAAGGACUGCCAGCAGCCUAUACAGCUACAUUACAUCUCAGCAGAACUUCUCUUCAAGUCCUCGCUACUCUGAACAAAAAGCUUACAGGCCACAUGGAGAAAAAAAGAUCUCCCCCCAGAAUUGUGGGCUUGUUGCUUUGCAGUGCUGGCGACCUAUUCCCUUUGACGAUCCCUAGGUGGAGAUGGGGCAUGAGGAUCCUCCAGGGGAAUAGCUCACCACCACUGGGCAACAGGCCUAGCCCAGAUUUCAGUGAGACGCUUUCCUGAACCCAGCAAGGAAGACAAAGGCUCAAAGAAUGCCACCCUACAUCAAAGUAGGUAAGUUUUCUGCAACAGUGUAAUAAUUUUAACUUUGAUCUUGUUUUCCAUUAAAGUCAGCCUUUUACUUGAGAUAUAUACAUAAAUUUUAUCGUUUUCCCACAUCUGGGAAAUGUAACUAAACAGUGCAAAUGUUUCUUCUAGGAGAAAAGCUGCUGCAAUAGUGGCACUGACCUUCCGAGGAAGCCAUUCUGCUCUAUUUGGUUCUCUCUCCAGAAGUUAGGAGAACUUUGCCAGCUGUUUACAUACUUCAAGAUGCACUGCUACCCUACUCAUGCCAUAUAAUACACAAGUGAGUAGCUUAUUUACCUACCUAGCUAUUUACGAGUACACUGUUGCUGACUUCAGACACACCAGAAGAGAGCACCAGAUCUCAUUACAG
Molecule: long non-coding RNA, 1231 nt
Filed under: Mus spicilegus (steppe mouse)
Lineage: Eukaryota; Metazoa; Chordata; Mammalia; Rodentia; Muridae
Description: lncRNA (ENSMSIG00000006325.1)
Rfam family: X-chromosome inactivation gene exon 4 (bases 644-769)
Source: RNAcentral